UCGGCAGCGGCAGCUGCAGCCACGGAGGGUCUGUGUCAUGUCUGUGCAGCGGCGGAGAGGGUGGGCUGCGAGCGCGGAGCCGAGGCGGGGCCAGCCCGCCAACACACACGCCGCUCAGUGACAGGCGGCGAGCCAGGGCCCAACCAGGAGCAGCCCCCUGCUGCAGAGCCCUCCCCCUUCUUCUCCCACAGGAGCAGCCUCGAGUCGGGAAGAAGGAAGGAAGGAAUCUCCCCAUCCACUUCGGCAAGAGACGAGAAAGCCGGCCAGGGCGGGCUCGCGGGCAAAGCGCCGGAGGCAGCGCAGUGCCGUGAGCGCCAAGAGCCUCGGAUGGCCCUCGGUCUCCCACUGCUNGGUAGGAAGCCCGGCGAAAGCCAGCGAGCGGUAGCCGAACGGAGGCGCCUGCUGGCUUCUCACGUGCGCGUCUCCUGCUUUUGGAACCUCACCGGGCUGAGGGAAUGUGAGGAACGAAGGGAGCCGUCCCUUUGGCUGGAUUUUAACAUUCUGUGUGUCUCUAUAGGCAGCGAGGGGAGAGCAGUAACAGAAAAUUAAGGAGAGAAUUACAACUUUUGGAAAGCUUUACAGUACAACAGAUACUUCAGAUAUUAAUUUAUUCCCUUGUAACAGCCACUUAAAUAGAGUGACUUCCUUUGUGGGGGGGAAGAAAUGUCUUUCACAGAAGCUUUAAAGAAAACAAAGGGCUUCAAAAACAUGUUUUGCAGCCAAAUCUACCAAGUAUCCUGAACUUCCAGAUUGUUUACUUAAGGGAAGACAGCAUUUGCCAUGCCACAUCAACCCAUUCGUCCAUCAAGUCUAAUAUCCUGCCGCCAGCAGUGCCCGGCGCUGAAUGUUUUAGAGUCAGAGUUAUAUUAGAUGAACUGAAGUAUACCAUAAAGCUCAACAUGGCAGUGAUAUUAUUUAACUGUUACGGACUGGGAUGCUUGACAUGUAAUGACACCCUGGAAAACCAUAUGAAAAAUAUCCUGGCAAAUCUACAAAAGCUACUGAGUUCUAACAAGAAAUGAUGAUUUAGAGAAACNCUGUAUGAUGUGCUGGCUUAUCUUUUUGUGAUCAAGAAGGAAGGCAGUUUGCAACCGGCCAGUUGAGUCUCCCACCUACCCCCAUCCCCAGCACACUGAACUAGUUAAAGGGAAUGGACCACAUCUUUUCUGACCAAUCUUGAUAAUUAGAAUGCAGCAAUAUUAAACACAGGUCUGAUGAGAAGGAAAUUGGCAUAUAUAGUGAAUCAAAUGAGGAAGAUAUCAAUAUUUUAUCCAAACCAUAACAAAAUGCAAGGAAAAAUUCCACAAGGUUAGUGGACAUUUUUCCAAGGCCACUUUCCUGACUGACCCCCUUUUCCAAAUACCAUAAUGAGAUCCAGUGACACAGUCAGCUACCCAGAGGGUUUCCAAAUCACACAGAGUCCCCCAAACAAAGUCUCAGCCUUUGUUCUUCUCAAUGGGACCUCAAAUGGGGGUCCUAUUGGCAGUAAGAAGUAAUGAUCUAGCUACUGAGGAGGGGCCCAUAUAGGCUAUCUGGGUAGGGGAAUCAG
Salvator merianae (Argentine black and white tegu) is the source of this 1549-nucleotide long non-coding RNA. Lineage: Eukaryota; Metazoa; Chordata; Lepidosauria; Squamata; Teiidae. The record is from Ensembl.